AGUGAACGCUGGCGGCAGGCCUAAUACAUGCAAGUCGAACGGCAGCACAGCAGAGCUUGCUCUGUGGGUGGCGAGUGGCGGACGGGUGAGGAAUACAUGGGAAUCUGCCCAAGUCGUGGGGGAUAACGUAUGGAAACGUACGCUAAUACCGCAUGCGCCCUACGGGGGAAACCGGGGACCGAAAGGCCUGGCGCGAUUGGAUGAGCCCAUGUUCGAUUAGCUAGUUGGCGGGGUAAAGGCCCACCAAGGCGACGAUCGAUAGCUGGUCUGAGAGGAUGAUCAGCCACACUGGAACUGAGACACGGUCCAGACUCCUACGGGAGGCAGCAGUAGGGGAAUAUUGGACAAUGGGGGCAACCCUGAUCCAGCCAUGCCGCGUGAGUGAAGAAGGCCCUCGGGUUGUAAAGCUCUUUUGUCCGGAAGAAAAGCAUUCGGUUAAUACCCGGGUGUUCUGACGGUACCGGAAGAAUAAGCACCGGCUAACUUCGUGCCAGCA
RNAcentral lists this ribosomal RNA (496 nucleotides) under uncultured bacterium. Its description in RNAcentral is "bacterial SSU rRNA". It matches the Rfam family "Bacterial small subunit ribosomal RNA", at positions 29 to 513 of the family's 1533-position model. The record is from RNAcentral.